GCUUACGGCCACACCGGCCUGAGUACGCCUGAUCUCGUCCGAUCUCGGAAGCUAAGCAGGGUCGGGCCUGGUUAGUACUUGGAGGAUGGGAGACCGCCUGGGAAUACCAGGUGCUGUAAGCU
This 122-nucleotide ribosomal RNA is filed under the name Oncorhynchus mykiss (rainbow trout). Lineage: Eukaryota; Metazoa; Chordata; Actinopteri; Salmoniformes; Salmonidae. The record is from RNAcentral.